This 496-nucleotide ribosomal RNA is filed under the name uncultured bacterium. RNAcentral's name for it is "partial 16S ribosomal RNA". It matches the Rfam family "Bacterial small subunit ribosomal RNA", at positions 29 to 507 of the family's 1533-position model. The record is from RNAcentral.
AUGAACGCUGGCGGCGUGCCUAAUACAUGCAAGUCGAGCGAACAGACGAGGAGCUUGCUCCUCUGACGUUAGCGGCGGACGGGUGAGUAACACGUGGAUAACCUACCUAUAAGACUGGGAUAACUUCGGGAAACCGGAGCUAAUACCGGAUAAUAUAUUGAACCGCAUGGUUCAAUAGUGAAAGACGGUUUUGCUGUCACUUAUAGAUGGAUCCGCGCCGCAUUAGCUAGUUGGUAAGGUAACGGCUUACCAAGGCAACGAUGCGUAGCCGACCUGAGAGGGGUAUCCGCCACACUGGAACUUAGACCCGGUCCAGACUCCUACGGGAGGCAGCAGGAGGGAAUCUUCCGCAAUGGGCGAAAGCCUGACGGAGCAACGCCGCGUGAGUGAUGAAGGUCUUCGGAUCGUAAAACUCUGUUAUUAGGGAAGAACAAAUGUGUAAGUAACUAUGCACGUCUUGACGGUACCUAAUCAGAAAGCCACGGCUAACUACGUG